This is a small nuclear RNA of Mastomys coucha (southern multimammate mouse), 107 nucleotides long. The record is from RefSeq and is a predicted model, not a curated record. Lineage: Eukaryota; Metazoa; Chordata; Mammalia; Rodentia; Muridae.
GUGCUCCCUUCAGUAGCACAUAUAUUAAAAUUGGAAUGAUACAGAGAAGAUUAGCAUGGCCCCUGAGCAAGGAUGACACGCAAACUAAUGAAGUGUUCCAUAUUUAA